Molecule: ribosomal RNA, 498 nt
Filed under: uncultured bacterium
Lineage: Bacteria
Description: partial 16S ribosomal RNA
Rfam family: Bacterial small subunit ribosomal RNA
Source: RNAcentral
GACGAACGCUGGCGGCGUGCCUAAUACAUGCAAGUCGAACGAGAGCGACCGGUGCUUGCGCUGGUCAGUCUAGUGGCGCACAGGUGAGUAACACGUGGGUAACCUGCCCAUCAGAGGGGGAUAACAUUCGGAAACGGAUGCUAAAACCGCAUAGGUCUUCGAACCGCAUGGUUUGAAGAGGAAAGGAGGCGCAAGCUUCUGCUGAUGGAUGUACCCGCGGUGCAUUAGCUAGUUGGUGAGGUAACGGUUCACCAAGGCCGUGAUGCAUAGCCGACCUGAGAGGGGGAUCGGCCACAUUGGGACUGAGACACGGCCCAAACUCGUACGGGAGGCAGCAGUAGGGAAUCUUCCGCAAUGGACGCAAGUAUGACGGAGCAACGCCGCGUGAGUGAAGAAGGUUUUCGGAUCGUAAAACUCUGUUGUUAGAGAAGAAUAAGUGCUAGAGUAACUGUUAGCGCCUUGACGGUAUCUAACCAGAAAGCCACGGCUAACUACGUG